This 27-nucleotide non-coding RNA is filed under the name Homo sapiens (human). The record is from RNAcentral. Lineage: Eukaryota; Metazoa; Chordata; Mammalia; Primates; Hominidae.
UGGUGAUGGGCAUUUGGGCCUCUUCAC